CCAGGGCUUCGGCCCUGGGGACAGCGGCGAACGGGUGAGUAACACGUGGGUAAUCCACCCUCGGCACCGGAAUAGCCCGGGGAAACCCGGAUUAAUGCCGGAUGGCCCGUCGACCCUUCGGGGCUGACGGAAAAGGUAGCUUCGGCCUCCGGCCGGGGACGAGCCCGCGACGGAUUAGCUUGUUGGUGGGGUAACGGCCUACCAAGGCUCCGAUCCGUAGCUGGUCUGAGAGGACGAUCAGCCACACUGGGACUGAGACACGGCCCAGACUCCUACGGGAGGCAGCAGUGGGGAAUCUUGCGCAAUGGGCGAAAGCCUGACGCAGCGACGCCGCGUGGGGGAAGAAGGCCUUCGGGUUGUAAACCUCUUUCAGGAGGGACGAAGCCACUCGGGUUAAUAGCCCAGAGGGUGACGGUACCUCCAGAAGAAGCCCCGGCUAACUACGUGCCAGCAGCCGCGGUAAUACGUAGGGGGCAAGCGUUGUCCGGAUUUAUUGGGCGUAAAGAGCGUGUAGGCGGCCAGGUAGGUCUGCUGUGAAAACUCGAGGCUUAACCUCGAGCUGUCGGCGGAAACCAUCUGGCUAGAGUCCGGAAGAGGAGAAUGGAAUUCCCGGUGUAGCGGUGAAAUGCGCAGAUAUCGGGAAGAACACCCGUGGCGAAGGCGGUUCUCUGGGACGGUACUGACGCUGAGACGCGAAAGCGUGGGGAGCGAACAGGAUUAGAUACCCUGGUAGUCCACGCCGUAAACGAUGAGUGCUAGUGUUGGGGGGGUGUCGACUCCCUCCAUGCCGCACUAACGCAUU
Molecule: ribosomal RNA, 802 nt
Filed under: uncultured Actinomycetes bacterium
Lineage: Bacteria; Bacillati; Actinomycetota; Actinomycetes
Description: bacterial SSU rRNA
Rfam family: Bacterial small subunit ribosomal RNA
Source: RNAcentral